Molecule: small nuclear RNA, 157 nt
Filed under: Nicotiana attenuata
Lineage: Eukaryota; Viridiplantae; Streptophyta; Magnoliopsida; Solanales; Solanaceae
Description: snRNA U2
Rfam family: U2 spliceosomal RNA
About the family: U2 is a small nuclear RNA (snRNA) component of the spliceosome (involved in pre-mRNA splicing). Complementary binding between U2 snRNA (in an area lying towards the 5' end but 3' to hairpin I) and the branchpoint sequence (BPS) of the intron results the bulging out of an unpaired adenosine, on the BPS, which initiates a nucleophilic attack at the intronic 5' splice site, thus starting the first of two transesterification reactions that mediate splicing.
Source: Rfam by way of RNAcentral
UUACCUUUCUCGGCCUUUUGGCUAAGAUCAAGUGUAGUAUCUGUUCUUAUCAGUUUAAUAUCUAAUAGUGUUAUAUUGGACCUGUACUGGGCUCCGGAACCGACAUACGAGCCCGAUACCAAUGUGAUCACUCGUUAUUUAGUUUCUUUAAUUCCUU